This is a long non-coding RNA of Oncorhynchus keta (chum salmon), 1448 nucleotides long. RefSeq lists it as uncharacterized. The transcript is spliced from 4 exons. The record is from RefSeq and is a predicted model, not a curated record. Lineage: Eukaryota; Metazoa; Chordata; Actinopteri; Salmoniformes; Salmonidae.
GUUUGGUUUCCUCUAAUAUGGAUCCUAAUGCUGUGUGUGUGUGUGUGUGUGUGUGUGUGUGUGUGUGUGUGUGUAGGAAUAGAAGAACGUCUUGUUCAUUCCCAGCAGUCCUCUGUUUGAAAAGGCUUAGUGUGCAGGCAGACAGACAGGUUGGGGUUUGAAAAGGCUUAGUGUGCAGGCAGACAGACAGGUUGGGGUUUGAAAAGGCUUAGUGUGCAGGCAGACAGACAGGUUGGGGUUUGAAAAGGCUUAGUGUGCAGGCAGACAGACAGGUUGGGGUUUGAAAAGGCUUAGUGUGCAGGCAGACAGACAGGUUGGGGUUUGAAAAGGCUUAGUGUGCAGGCAGACAGACAGGUUGGGGUUUGAAAAGGCUUAGUGUGCAGGCAGACAGACAGGUUUGGGUUUGAAAAGGCUUAGUGUGCAGGCAGACAGACAGGUUUGGGUUUGAAAAGGCUUAGUGUGCAGGCAGACAUACAGGUUUGGGUUUGAAAAGGCUUAGUGUGCAGACAGACAGGUUGGGGAUUGAAAAGGCUUAGUGUGCAGACAGACAGGUUUGGGGUUGAAAAGGCUUAGUGUGCAGACAGACAGGUUUGGGUUUGAAAAGGCUUAGUGUGCAGACAGACAGGUUUGGGUUUGAAAAGGCUUAGUGUGCAGACAGACAGGUUGGGGAUUGAAAAGGCUUAGUGUGCAGACAGACAUACAGGUUUGGGUUUGAAAAGGCUUAGUGUGCAGGCAGACAGACAGAUUGGGGUUUGAAAAGGCUUAGUGUGCAGACAGACAGAUUGGGAUUUGAAAAGGCUUAGUGUGCAGGCAGACAGGUUGGGGUUUGAAAAGGCUUAGUGUGCAGACAGACAGGUUGGGUUUUGAAAAGGCUUCGUGCGCAGACAGACAGACAGGUUGGGGUUUGAAAAGGCUUCGUGUGCAGACAGACAGGUUGGGUUUUGAAAAGGCUUAGUGUGCAGACAGUCAGACAGAUUGGGGUUUGAAAAGGCUUAGUGUGCAGACAGACAGACAGAUUGGGGUUUGAAAAGGCUUAGUGUGCAGGCAAACAGACAGAUUGGGGUUUGAAAAGGCUUAGUUUGCAGGCAGACAGACAGGUUGGGGUUUGAAAAGGCUUAGUGUGCAGACACAGGUUGGGGUUUGAAAAGGCUUAGUGUGCAGACAGACAGGUUGGGUUUUGAAAAGGCUUCGUGUGCAGACAGACAGACAGACAGGUUGGGGUUUGAAAAGGCUUCGUGUGCAGACAGACAGGUUGGGUUUUGAAAAGGCUUCGUGUGCAGACAGACAGGUUGGGGUUUGGAGUGUUUGAGCGUCACGUCAUCGGGUUACCUGGAGGAGAGGAGAUCCAGUGGCUCAUAGUAACAGCAAUCUUUAGCAAAAUGUCUGGGACUGAGGGUAAGAUCCAUUCAUGUGACUAGAGGAUUAUUAAGGUCAAAUGUUUACGGUAG